Podarcis raffonei (Aeolian wall lizard) is the source of this 300-nucleotide long non-coding RNA. RefSeq lists it as uncharacterized. Lineage: Eukaryota; Metazoa; Chordata; Lepidosauria; Squamata; Lacertidae. The transcript is spliced from 3 exons. The record is from RefSeq and is a predicted model, not a curated record.
AUAUUUCUCAUUGUUCUCAGUUGCUUUUCCAUCCAGAGAGCUGGUAGGGCCAGGCUACCUUUGCUUCAGAGGCAUAACUUGGAUCCUGUUCUCCAAGUGCUUGGAUCCUGUUCUCCAGGGCUGUCAAGAGAAUUCUGAUGGAAACAGGAGUGGAAAAUGCCGGUGUUCACUGAUUUGUCCCACAUCCGGAACUGCAAUCAAGUCUUAUGAAUGUGAAAAUGAGAAAAAGAUGCAAUCCUAUUUAGAGAAGCGGCAGCAGCAACACCUUUUGGUAUCUGCCUUGGAUCCAAAUUGAUCUUA